Molecule: ribosomal RNA, 254 nt
Filed under: uncultured bacterium
Lineage: Bacteria
Description: partial 16S ribosomal RNA
Rfam family: Bacterial small subunit ribosomal RNA
Source: RNAcentral
UACGUAGGGGGCGAGCGUUGUCCGAAGUUACUGGGCGUAAAGCGCGCGUAGGCGGGGGGGUAAGUGAGAGGUGAAAGGCUGGGGCUCAACCUCAUGCAGUGCCUCUCAUACUGGCCUUCUUGAGGGCGGUAGGGAGAAGUGGAAUGGCUGGUGUAGCGGUGAAAUGCGUAGAUAUCAGUCGGAACACCGGUGGCGAAGGCGGCUUCUUGGGCCGUUCCUGACGCUGAUGCGCGAAAGCUGGGGGAGCGAACGGG